This is a long non-coding RNA of Scophthalmus maximus (turbot), 684 nucleotides long. RefSeq lists it as uncharacterized. The transcript is spliced from 3 exons. The record is from RefSeq and is a predicted model, not a curated record. Lineage: Eukaryota; Metazoa; Chordata; Actinopteri; Pleuronectiformes; Scophthalmidae.
GCUCCUGCUGUUUGUCCUCCCCUCUCCUUUCAUUUCUUUCCGUUGCAUCCUCUGUUGGCCUAACCCUAUACACACACACUUAAACACGCAUACACACACACACACACACACACACACACAGCUAUAAAAAAUGCAGGGAGGAAUUUGCUCGGACGUCACAGCUCUGCUAAUAUUAUGUUAUGUUUGUCGAGUACAUACAGGCGGCGGGAACAUCUGUGGCAAGGCGGGAAAAGAGGACCACUAUUUUCAAGUGAACGCCCGGGACAAGAUUCACCGAAGCGUUUUUACAGAAACCCAUCAAACACUCAACACGGACACCGUUGGAGAAACGACUACACGUAAAUACAGUACUCAGGCUUUGGAAACAGACCAGACCUAGAGCAACACCACUGCACGCGUAAGGUGAAGAUUAUACUCCACCACCAGGAAAGACGAACCUUCAUGAUAAUCACAUACAUAACAGUCAGAGCGGAGAGCACUCCGACACAAACCUCCCUGAAAUAGGAACCAUAUGGGCAAAGUUUCCAUCAGGACUCGUGAGGAAUCGACAUGUCUCGCAGUAAAUGGAGCAGAGAAGAAGAAAGAGUGAGAGGAGAGAGGAGAAGAGUUGUACAGAGGAUGGUCGGUGAAGGAUAAACAGGGAUUAUGUCUUUUGGCGAAAUAUGAGAUAAAAGUCCACAUAAA